This 453-nucleotide ribosomal RNA is filed under the name Poseidonemertes sp. 508. Its description in RNAcentral is "partial 16S ribosomal RNA". It matches the Rfam family "Archaeal large subunit ribosomal RNA", at positions 1924 to 2663 of the family's 2987-position model. Lineage: Eukaryota; Metazoa; Nemertea; Enopla; Monostilifera; Poseidonemertidae. The record is from RNAcentral.
GCUUUUGUUUUUUUUAAAAAGUAGUUUCUGCUCAAUGAUCUUAAAUAGCCGCGGUAAUUUGACCGUGCAAAGGUAGCAUAAUAAUUUGCUUUGUAAUUGAGGGCUGGAAUGAAGGGAUUUUUGAGAUUGCAGCUUUAUUAAAAAAAAUUUAAUAAUUUUCUUUUCUAGUGAAGAAGCUAGAGUGAAUAAGGGGGACAAGAAGACCCUUUUGAGCUUUAUUUUUUUUUCUUUUCUUAAGUUUAGGGAAUUUGGUUGGGGCGACCAGAGAAGAAAGAUCUUCUCUUUAAGAUUAUGAUCCAAGGAUUUUGAUUGAUAGAUUAAGUUACCAAAGGGAUAACAGCGUGAUUUUUUUUAAGAGUUCUUAUUAAAAAAGUAGAUUGCGACCUCGAUGUUGACUUAUGGCUUCCUUUUCGUGCAGCAGUGAUAAGGGUGGGUCUGUUCGACCUUUAAAGU